GCGACAUUAUUUUUUCCUACCACGUUUUCACCUUUCGAAACUUUCCAACGCGUAGGUAUUUUUUACCGUAUACAAAUUAUUACACUCGUCGCAAUUUGCUCGGCGCACGGUAAAAAUAUUAACUGAAGUUUUAUCAUAACAGAAUACCAUGUAAUGAAAAGGUGUACAGAAUCACAGUAAUGAAAUGAAAAAGCAGCUAGAAACUGAAAUAACAAAUUGUAAAGAAGCAGAACGCGAUGAAAUUACACGGGCGCAGAAUAUGAGAUUGGUAGAGCGCGACAAAAUUUGAUUAGAAACAUUACGAAAU
RNAcentral lists this unclassified non-coding RNA (307 nucleotides) under Bombus terrestris (buff-tailed bumblebee). RNAcentral's name for it is "misc RNA ENSBTSG00005035497.1". Lineage: Eukaryota; Metazoa; Arthropoda; Insecta; Hymenoptera; Apidae. The record is from RNAcentral.